CGCGGGGUGGAGCAGUUUGGCAGCUCGUCGGGCUCAUAACCCGAAGGUCGUAGGUUCAAAUCCUACCCCCGCAA
Molecule: transfer RNA, 74 nt
Filed under: Candidatus Burkholderia pumila
Lineage: Bacteria; Pseudomonadati; Pseudomonadota; Betaproteobacteria; Burkholderiales; Burkholderiaceae
Description: tRNA-Met
Rfam family: tRNA
About the family: Transfer RNA (tRNA) molecules are approximately 80 nucleotides in length. Their secondary structure includes four short double-helical elements and three loops (D, anti-codon, and T loops). Further hydrogen bonds mediate the characteristic L-shaped molecular structure. tRNAs have two regions of fundamental functional importance: the anti-codon, which is responsible for specific mRNA codon recognition, and the 3' end, to which the tRNAs corresponding amino acid is attached (by aminoacyl-tRNA synthetases). tRNAs cope with the degeneracy of the genetic code in two manners: having more than one tRNA (with a specific anti-codon) for a particular amino acid; and 'wobble' base-pairing, i.e. permitting non-standard base-pairing at the 3rd anti-codon position.
Source: RNAcentral